This 641-nucleotide ribosomal RNA is filed under the name Rhodotorula sp. CBS 11564. Its description in RNAcentral is "eukaryotic LSU rRNA". It matches the Rfam family "Eukaryotic large subunit ribosomal RNA", at positions 43 to 664 of the family's 3401-position model. Lineage: Eukaryota; Fungi; Basidiomycota; Microbotryomycetes; Sporidiobolales; Sporidiobolaceae. The record is from RNAcentral.
UUCAUAAGCGGAGGAAAAGAAACUAACAAGGAUUCCCCUAGUAGCGGCGAGCAAAGCGGGAAGAGCUCAAAUUUGUAAUCUGGCACCUUCGGUGUCCGAGUUGUAAUCUCGAGAAGUGUUUUCCGCGCUGGACUGCAUAUAAGUCUGUUGGAAUACAGCGUCAUAGUGGUGAGAACCCCGUACAUGAUGCAGAUGCCCAGUGCUUUGUGAUACACUUUCGAAGAGUCGAGUUGUUUGGGAAUGCAGCUCAAAUUGGGUGGUAAAUUCCAUCUAAAGCUAAAUAUUGGCGAGAGACCGAUAGCGAACAAGUACCGUGAGGGAAAGAUGAAAAGCACUUUGGAAAGAGAGUUAACAGUACGUGAAAUUGUUGGAAGGGAAACGCUUGAAGUCAGACUUGCGUAUUGGAGUUCAGCCGAAAGGUGUAUUCUUCAGUUUGCAGGCCAGCAUCAGUUUUCGGGGGUACAAAAGGGUGAGAAGAAGGUAGCAACUCCGGUUGUGUUAUAGCUUUUUACUGGAUGUAUCCCUGGGGACUGAGGAACGCAGCGCGCUUUUUGCAAAUCCUUCGGGUUUUUCCGCGCUUAGGAUGCUGGUGGAAUGGCUUUAAAAAACCGGGAACCCCCCGGGUCGUUUUGAAAACACGG